AAGAGACGUUGCCCUUCGGGGUAUACCUCCCACCCUUCUGUUUAUUAUACCUUUGUUGCUUUGGCGGGCCCGUCCUCGGACCACCGGCUUCUGCUGGUCAGUGCCCGCCAGAGGACCUAAAACUCUGUUUGUUAAUAUUGUCUGAGUACUAUAUAAUAGUUA
RNAcentral lists this unclassified non-coding RNA (162 nucleotides) under soil metagenome. Its description in RNAcentral is "partial internal transcribed spacer 1". The record is from RNAcentral.